Molecule: ribosomal RNA, 481 nt
Filed under: Streptomyces sp. B344
Lineage: Bacteria; Bacillati; Actinomycetota; Actinomycetes; Kitasatosporales; Streptomycetaceae
Description: bacterial SSU rRNA
Rfam family: Bacterial small subunit ribosomal RNA
Source: RNAcentral
CUAAUACCGGAUACUGAUCGCCUUGGGCAUCCUUGGUGAUCGAAAGCUCCGGCGGUGCAGGAUGAGCCCGCGGCCUAUCAGCUUGUUGGUGAGGUAAUGGCUCACCAAGGCGACGACGGGUAGCCGGCCUGAGAGGGCGACCGGCCACACUGGGACUGAGACACGGCCCAKACUCCUACGGGAGGCAGCAGUGGGGAAUAUUGCACAAUGGGCGAAAGCCUGAUGCAGCGACGCCGCGUGAGGGAUGACGGCCUUCGGGUUGUAAACCUCUUUCAGCAGGGAAGAAGCGAAAGUGACGGUACCUGCAGAAGAAGCGCCGGCUAACUACGUGCCAGCAGCCGCGGUAAUACGUAGGGCGCGAGCGUUGUCCGGAAUUAUUGGGCGUAAAGAGCUCGUAGGCGGCUUGUCGCGUCGGUUGUGAAAGCCCGGGGCUUAACCCCGGGUCUGCAGUCGAUACGGGCAGGCUAGAGUUCGGUAGGGG